This 497-nucleotide ribosomal RNA is filed under the name uncultured Glomeromycotina. RNAcentral describes it as "partial small subunit ribosomal RNA". It matches the Rfam family "Eukaryotic small subunit ribosomal RNA", at positions 591 to 1092 of the family's 1831-position model. The record is from RNAcentral. Lineage: Eukaryota; Fungi; Glomeromycota.
CCAAUAGCGUAUAUUAAAGUUGUUGCAGUUAAAAAGCUCGUAGUUGAAUUUCGGGAUCAGUAUGUUGGUCGUGCUUCGGUACGUACUGUCAUUACUGGUUUCUACCUUCUGAAGAACCAUGAUGUCAUUAAUUUGGUGUCAUGGGGAAUCAGGACUGUUACUUUGAAAAAAUUAGAGUGUUUAAAGCAGGCUCGCGCUUGAAUACAUUAGCAUGGAAUAAUGAAAUAGGACGUUUGAUUCUAUUUUGUUGGUUUCUAGGAUCGACGUAAUGAUUAAUAGGGAUAGUUGGGGGCAUUAGUAUUCAAUUGUCAGAGGUGAAAUUCUUGGAUUUAUUGAAGACUAACUACUGCGAAAGCAUUUGCCAAGGAUGUUUUCAUUAAUCAAGAACGAAAGUUAGGGGAUCGAAAACGAUCAGAUACCGUCGUAGUCUUAACCAUAAACUAUGCCGACUAGGGAUCGGAUGAUGUUAUUUUUAAUGACUCAUUCGGCGCCUUACG